RNAcentral lists this ribosomal RNA (489 nucleotides) under uncultured bacterium. RNAcentral describes it as "partial 16S ribosomal RNA". It matches the Rfam family "Bacterial small subunit ribosomal RNA", at positions 30 to 507 of the family's 1533-position model. The record is from RNAcentral.
AUUGAACGCUGGCGGCAGGCCUAACACAUGCAAGUCGAACGGUAACAGGAAGAAGCUUGCUUCUUUGCUGACGAGUGGCGGACGGGUGAGUAAUGUCUGGGAAACUGCCUGAUGGAGGGGGAUAACUACUGGAAACGGUAGCUAAUACCGCAUAAUGUCGCAAGACCAAAGAGGGGGACCUUCGGGCCUCUUGCCAUCGGAUGUGCCCAGAUGGGAUUAGCUAGUAGGUGGGGUAACGGCUCACCUAGGCGACGAUCCCUAGCUGGUCUGAGAGGAUGACCAGCCAAACUGGAACUGAGACACGGUCCAGACUCCUACGGGAGGCAGCAGUGGGGAAUAUUGCACAAUGGGCGCAAGCCUGAUGCAGCUAUGCCGCGUGUAUGAAGAAGGCCUUCGGUUGUAAAGUACUUUCAGCGGGGAGGAAGGGAGUAAAGUUAAUACCUUUGCUCAUUGACGUUACCCGCAGAAGAAGCACCGGCUAACUCCGUG